AGGAAAUUGUUCCCUUGCUGGCUCAUAAAAACUCAACGCUCACGAUUUAAUGACGCCGAAAUGGAUGCCCCUAUGAAGAUUACACUACAGUUCACCCCUUUAAAACAUCGAUCAAUCAUUACCUCUUCUCUCUCUCUCUCAAAUUUUUAUCUUUAGAACUAAAAUUUAAAAAAAAAAAAAAAAAAAAAAAAAGAUUUCUCUUCUCUUUCCCAUACUGGCUUGGAUUAUCUCCCCAAUUAUUGGGAAGAGAAAGGUUUUGGGGUUUUCUUUGAUUGUUCCAACAAAGAAAAUACAAAGUGGAUCUAAUUUGAGUUUCUUUCUUUGCCUUCUUCCCAUAAAGUUUAAUCCUUUUCAAAUGGUUUUCAUGUCUGAUUUUAGAUUUACAGACAAAGUUUCUGAGGAAGAAGCUGGAGAGUGGGAAAGGGAAACAUAAAUUCAAACACCAUUCAGUAAAAUCCUCCGAGCGACUUUAAUCACAGAACCAAUGGCGGCUAUAUCACCGCCAGUGCCGGAAAAUCCGGCAGCGGCGGUUCUGAUCGGGCAAAUGGAUGUUGAAUUUGCCAAGUGUGAGUGUUGUGGGCUGACAGAGGAAUGUACAGGGGCCUAUAUUGAGGGAAUCCGCCGCCGGUUCGACGGAAAAUGGAUUUGCGGUUUGUGUUCGGAGGCGGUUCAAGAUGAGAUUCUCAAGUCCGAUGAACUUAUCACCACGGAAGAAGCCAUAGCAAAGCAUAUGAGUUUUUGUAAGAAAUUUGCUGCCGCCGUCGGCCCUCCGCCGGACCCGACGCCUCAUCUCAUAAGUGCUAUGAGACAGAUCCUCCGUCGGAGUUUAGAUUCCCCAAGAGCAUUGAGGUCUAGUCCGGCCACUCCAACCACCGCUGCCGACAACCAAAUCCGCCGCCGGGCUCUUGCUUGAUCCGCAAGCCGUUUCAUUUCUCUCUCUGGUUGACGAUGAUGAACAUUGGAUUUUUCCAGAGAAGGAAAGAAUUUUUCCAAGCAAAUAAAUAGGAUUAAAAUCCCCUCCCCCCCCCAAAAUUAAAAAUAAAAAUAAAAAAAUAAAACAUGAAAUAGAGAAAAUAAUGUUUGAUCUUUGAUAUAAGCUUUUAAGUUCGAUCUCAAUCUGUAGUUUUUACGACGUACUUUUUAUUUUCUCUUGCUUUCGAUUUCUUUUCUUUUUUUUUUUUUUUUUUUCCUUUUUUGGGGAAAUUUUUGUGAAGAUCGAAGAAGAAAUUGAAAAUUAUAAUGAUUAGUUUGUGGAAUGGGUGACCUAACAGAAUCAAUUAUUGAG
Molecule: long non-coding RNA, 1285 nt
Organism: Cucumis melo (muskmelon)
Lineage: Eukaryota; Viridiplantae; Streptophyta; Magnoliopsida; Cucurbitales; Cucurbitaceae
Exons: 2
Source: RefSeq, a predicted model, not a curated record